AUUGAACGCUGGCGGCAGGCCUAACACAUGCAAGUCGAGCGGAUGAAGGGAGCUUGCUCCCUGGAUUCAGCGGCGGACGGGUGAGUAAUGCCUAGGAAUCUGCCUGGUAGUGGGGGAUAACGUCCGGAAACGGGCGCUAAUACCGCAUACGUCCUGAGGGAGAAAGUGGGGGAUCUUCGGACCUCACGCUAUCAGAUGAGCCUAGGUCGGAUUAGCUAGUUGGUGGGGUAAAGGCCUACCAAGGCGACGAUCCGUAACUGGUCUGAGAGGAUGAUCAGUCACACUGGAACUGAGACACGGUCCAGACUCCUACGGGAGGCAGCAGUGGGGAAUAUUGGACAAUGGGCGAAAGCCUGAUCCAGCCAUGCCGCGUGUGUGAAGAAGGUCUUCGGAUUGUAAAGCACUUUAAGUUGGGAGGAAGGGCAGUAAGUUAAUACCUUGCUGUUUUGACGUUACCCACAGAAUAAGCACCGGCUAACUUCGUGCCA
This 488-nucleotide ribosomal RNA is filed under the name Pseudomonas aeruginosa. RNAcentral's name for it is "bacterial SSU rRNA". It matches the Rfam family "Bacterial small subunit ribosomal RNA", at positions 30 to 510 of the family's 1533-position model. Lineage: Bacteria; Pseudomonadati; Pseudomonadota; Gammaproteobacteria; Pseudomonadales; Pseudomonadaceae. The record is from RNAcentral.